This 88-nucleotide transfer RNA is filed under the name Pseudoduganella rivuli. RNAcentral's name for it is "tRNA-Ser". It matches the Rfam family "tRNA". Rfam says of the family: Transfer RNA (tRNA) molecules are approximately 80 nucleotides in length. Their secondary structure includes four short double-helical elements and three loops (D, anti-codon, and T loops). Lineage: Bacteria; Pseudomonadati; Pseudomonadota; Betaproteobacteria; Burkholderiales; Oxalobacteraceae. The record is from RNAcentral.
GGUAGCAUGGCUGAGAGGCCGAAGGCAGCGGUUUGCUAAACCGUCGAGUCGCAAGGCUCCGCAGGUUCGAAUCCUGCUGCUACCGCCA